UUGGUAGAAAUGAAUUUCUCAUUCUACUAUCCAUCUCAAGUGACGCACACUAUCUAUAGAAGACCUCUACAAAGUGUUGGGACAAAAAGGAAUAAGAUAAAUUGAAUAUGGUUAACUAAAAAUAACCACACAAAAAAAAAACUACGGUUAACUAGCACUAAAAAAAUCACUGCCUAUGUUGUGAAGAGCAAGAACCUUCAUUUUCUUGAACAA
RNAcentral lists this long non-coding RNA (213 nucleotides) under Lathyrus oleraceus (garden pea). Its description in RNAcentral is "Pisum sativum (pea) long non-coding RNA (PSAT_LNC023323)". Lineage: Eukaryota; Viridiplantae; Streptophyta; Magnoliopsida; Fabales; Fabaceae. The record is from RNAcentral.